This is a non-coding RNA of Triticum aestivum (bread wheat), 133 nucleotides long. NCBI's taxonomy places the organism in Eukaryota, Viridiplantae, Streptophyta, Magnoliopsida, Poales, Poaceae. The record is from Rfam.
CACAUACUCCCUCCGAAAACACUUGCCAUCAAAAUGGAUAAAAAGAGAUGUGUCUAGAACUAAAAUAUGUCUCUAGAUACAUCCCCUUUUAUCCAUUUUGAUGACAACUAUUUUCGGACAGAGGGAGUACUAG